CCUCUAGCUUUAUAAGCAUGUGUUUGCUCUGUGCACAUGUAAGUAAGCAGUGGACAAGAGCAGAGCCAGUGCUAUGCCUUCAGUACUAGUGGCGUCUGAUUAUCUGCUAGUACUAUUCUCAAUUGCUGGUACACUA
This is a small nucleolar RNA of Rhinichthys klamathensis goyatoka, 136 nucleotides long. RefSeq annotates it as small nucleolar RNA SNORA57. The transcript has a single exon. The record is from RefSeq and is a predicted model, not a curated record. NCBI's taxonomy places the organism in Eukaryota, Metazoa, Chordata, Actinopteri, Cypriniformes, Leuciscidae.